GCCCAGUGAGUGUGCCGGAGUCGCACGCGACGCUUCGAACGUCGAAGAAGGGGUUCGAUUCCUCUACUGGGUG
This 73-nucleotide transfer RNA is filed under the name Planctomycetaceae bacterium. RNAcentral describes it as "tRNA-Arg". It matches the Rfam family "tRNA". From Rfam's summary of the family: Transfer RNA (tRNA) molecules are approximately 80 nucleotides in length. Their secondary structure includes four short double-helical elements and three loops (D, anti-codon, and T loops). Further hydrogen bonds mediate the characteristic L-shaped molecular structure. tRNAs have two regions of fundamental functional importance: the anti-codon, which is responsible for specific mRNA codon recognition, and the 3' end, to which the tRNAs corresponding amino acid is attached (by aminoacyl-tRNA synthetases). tRNAs cope with the degeneracy of the genetic code in two manners: having more than one tRNA (with a specific anti-codon) for a particular amino acid; and 'wobble' base-pairing, i.e. permitting non-standard base-pairing at the 3rd anti-codon position. Lineage: Bacteria; Pseudomonadati; Planctomycetota; Planctomycetia; Planctomycetales; Planctomycetaceae. The record is from RNAcentral.